UCAAGCUACUAAGGGCGUACGGUGGAUGCCUUGGCACCAGGAGUCGAUGAAGGACGCGGUAAGCUGCGAUAAGCUUCGGUGAGCUGCAAACAGGCGUUGACCCGGAGAUUUCCGAAUGGGGAAACCCACCGAGGGUAAUGCCUCGGUAUCCUCAGCUGAAUACAUAGGUUGAGGAAGACAACGCAGGGAAGUGAACCAUCUCAGUACCUGCAGGAACAGAAAACAAUAGUGAUUCCGCUAGUAGCGGCGAGCGAACGCGGAAAAGCCCAAACCGACGUGCUUGCAUGUCGGGGUUGUAGGGCCUGCCAGGCCGUAAGGCCGGCGAGUAAAAAACCAGCCCGUUAGUCGAACGACUUGGAACGGUCGGCCAUAGACGGUGACAGCCCGGUAGACGAAAACAGGCUGGCUCGCUGGGUAGGUUCCUGAGUAGCGCGGGACACGUGGAAUCCCGUGUGAACCUAGGAGGACCAUCUCCUAAGGCUAAAUACUCCCUGGUGACCGAUAGUGAACCAGUACCGUGAGGGAAAGGUGAAAAGAACCCCUGUUAGGGGAGUGAAAUAGUACCUGAAACCGUAUGCCUACAAGCAGUGGGAGGGCUAUGACUGAGGGUUCGCCCUCGGUAAGGCCUGACCGCGUGCCUUUUGCAUAAUGAGCCGGCUAGUUACUCUCCGUGGCAAGGUUAAGCGUAAGCGAGCCGUAGCGAAAGCGAGUCUAAAAUGGGCGUCCAGUCAUUGGGAGUAGACGCGAAGCGAGGUGAUCUACCCUUGGCCAGGGUGAAGCGCGGGUAACACCGCGUGGAGGCCCGAACCAGUGUCGGUUGAAAACGACUUGGAUGAGCUGAGGGUAGGGGUGAAAGGCUAAUCAAACCUCGUGAUAGCCCGUUCUCCUCGAAAUGCUUUUAGGAGCAGCCUCGAGAGGUCGGCGUUGGUGGUAGGGCUCUGGAUGGACUAGGGGGCUUAACAGCUUACUGAAUCCAACCAAACUUCGAAUGCCAACGACACGCAUCUCGGGAGUGAGACCAUGGGGGCUAAGCUUCAUGGUCGAGAGGGAAACAGCCCAGACUACCGGCUAAGGUCCCUAAAUCUGUGCUAAGUGGAAAAGGAACUGGAGACGCCGAAACAGCCAGGAGGUUGGCUUAGAAGCAGCAAUCCUUUAAAGAAAGCGUAAUAGCUCACUGGUCAAGCGGCUCUGGGCCGACAAUGUAACGGGGCUCAAGCACAGUACCGAAGCCGUAGAUUCGACGGGUCUCUUGAGGCCCGCGAGUGGUAGAGGAGCGUUCUCUAUGCAGUGAAGGUGGACCGAGAGGACCACUGGAGCGUAGAGAAGUGACCCUGCCGGCAUAAGUAGCGAUAAGAGUGGUGAGAAUCCACUCCGCCGAAAACCUAAGGUUUCCUGAGGAAGGUUCGUCCGCUCAGGGUUAGUCGGGUCCUAACGCGAGGCCGAAAGGCGUAGCGGAUGGAUAUCCGGUCAACAUUCCGGAACUACCUAAACAACGUUUGUACGAUGGGGGGACGCAGGAGGCUAGCCCAGCCUACGAUCGGAAGUGUAGGUUCAGGCAUGUAGGGGGAGUCGCUAGGAAAAUCCGGUGACUCAUAUACCCUGAGGUGCUAUGGCGAGGCCGUCAGGCCGCAAAGUGGGCGACGCCACGCUGCCAAGAAAAGCCUCUAAGGAGUUGUUUGGGUACCCGUACCGCAAACCGACACAGGUAGGUGGGGAGAAAAUCCUCAGGCGCGAGUGAGAACCCUCGUUUAGGAACUCGGCAAACUCGCCCCGUAACUUCGGAAGAAGGGGUGCUCCAGCUCGUGAUCCGGUUCGCCCGGUGAGCGGGAAGGAGUUGCAAUAAAGAGGCCCAGGCGACUGUUUACUAAAAACACAGGACUCUGCUAAGUCAAAAACGACGUAUAGGGUCUGACGCCUGCCCGGUGCCGGAAGGUUAAAAGGAGGGGUCAACCUCUUUUCGAAGAGGUGAAGCUCUGAAUUGAAGCCCCGGUAAACGGCGGCCGUAACUAUAACGGUCCUAAGGUAGCGAAAUUCCUUGUCGGGUAAGUUCCGACCUGCACGAAUGGCGCAACGAUCUGGGCGCUGUCUCAACGAGGGACACUGCGAAUUUGUGGUACCGGUGAAGACGCCGGUUACCCGUGGUAAGACGGAAAGACCCCGUGCACCUUUACUACAGCUUAGUAGUGAGUGUUGGUGUGUUAUGCGCAGGAUAGGUGGGAGACUUUGAACCGGGCUUCUUGGGGUCCGGGGAGUCGUCGGUGAGAUACCACCCUUAGCGCCCCGGCGCUCUAACCUCGGCCUGUCAUCCAGGUCAGGGACACUGCUUGGUGGGUAGUUUGACUGGGGCGGUCGCCUCCCAAAAUGUAACGGAGGCGCACGAAGGUUCGCUCAGGCUGUUUGGAAAUCAGCCGGAGAGUGCAAAGGCAGAAGCGAGCUUGACUGCGAGACAAACAAGUCGAGCAGGUGGGAAACCAGGUCUUAGUGAUCCGGUGGCUCCGAAUGGAAGGGCCAUCGCUCAACGGAUAAAAGGUACGCCGGGGAUAACAGGCUUAUCUUGGCCAAGAGUUCAUAUCGACGCCAAGGUUUGGCACCUCGAUGUCGGCUCAUCACAUCCUGGAGCUGUAGCAGGUUCCAAGGGUUCGGCUGUUCGCCGAUUAAAGUGGUACGUGAGCUGGGUUUAGAACGUCGCGAGACAGUUCGGUCCCUAUCUACCACGGGCGCAGGAGAUUUGAGGGGGGCUGUCCUUAGUACGAGAGGACCGGGAUGGACGAACCUCUAGUGUACCAGUUGUCGCGCCAGCGGCAGUGCUGGGUAGCUACGUUCGGAAGGGAGAAACGCUGAAAGCAUCUAAGCGUGAAACCUUCCCCAAGAUGAGAUCUCCCUGAGCUUCGGCUCCUGAAGGCUCCUGGAAGACUACCAGGUGAUAGGCCAGAUGUGUAAGGCUUGCGAGAGCUUUAGCUAACUGGUACUAAUCAGCCGUGAGGCUUGACCAU
RNAcentral lists this ribosomal RNA (2993 nucleotides) under uncultured bacterium AD106-G4. RNAcentral describes it as "bacterial LSU rRNA". It matches the Rfam family "Bacterial large subunit ribosomal RNA". The record is from RNAcentral.